CUGCUGCCUCCCGUAGGAGUUUGGGCCGUGUCUCAGUCCCAAUGUGGCCGAUCAACCUCUCAGUUCGGCUACGCACCAUUGCCUUGGUAAGCCUUUACCCCACCAACUAGCUAAUGCGCCGCGGGCCCAUCCAAAAGCGGUAGCAUAGCCACCUUUUACAUAGCUACCAUGCGGUAACUAUGGUUAUGCGGUAUUAGCACCUGUUUCCAAGUGUUAUCCCCCUCUUUUGGGCAGGUUGCCCACGUGUUACUCACCCGUUCGCCA
This 264-nucleotide ribosomal RNA is filed under the name uncultured bacterium. RNAcentral describes it as "partial 16S ribosomal RNA". The record is from RNAcentral.